CCUACGGGAGGCAGCAGUGAGGAAUAUUGGUCAAUGGACGGAAGGCUGAACCAGCCAAGCAGCGUGAAGGACGACUGUGCUAAGGGUUGUAAACUUCUUUUGUAAAGGGAUAAAAUGAGGCUCGAGAGCCUGACCGCGGGUACUUGAUGAAAAAGCAUCGGCUAACUCCGUGCCAGCAGCCGCGGUAAUACGGAGGAUGCGAGCGUUAUCCGGAUUUAUUGGGUUUAAAGGGUGCGUAGGCGGGGUGUUAAGUCAGCGGUUAAAGCCUCGGGCUCAACCGCGAGCGGGCCGUUGAUACUGGCUGUCUUGAGGAGACUAGAGGUAUGCGGAAUGCGCAGUGUAGCGGUGAAAUGCUUAGAUAUUGCGCAGAACUCCGAUUGCGAAGGCAGCAUAC
RNAcentral lists this ribosomal RNA (394 nucleotides) under uncultured bacterium. RNAcentral describes it as "partial 16S ribosomal RNA". It matches the Rfam family "Bacterial small subunit ribosomal RNA", at positions 338 to 729 of the family's 1533-position model. The record is from RNAcentral.